UAUUAAGCGGAGGAAAAGAAACUAACUAGGAUUCCCUCAGUAGCGGCGAGCGAACAGGGAGAAGCCCAGCACCGAAUCCCGCGGUCGUAACCGAUCGCCGGGACAUGUGGUGUUAAGAAGGGUCCGUUAUCUCGAGAGUUUGCGGCGCGUCCAAGUCCAUCUUGAACGGGGCCACUGCCCAUAGAGGGUGCCAGGCCCGUAGCGACCGCUGCUACCUUCGAGAGGAUCUCUUCUGAGAGUCGGGUUGCUUGAGAGUGCAGCCCUAAGUGGGUGGUAAACUCCAUCUAAGGCUAAAUAUGACCACGAGACCGAUAGCGAACAAGUACCGUGAGGGAAAGUUGAAAAGAACUUUGAAGAGAGAGUUCAAGAGUACGUGAAACCGUUCAGGGGUAAACCUGAGAAACCCGAAAGUUCGAAUGGGGAGAUUCAUUCGCGAACCGGUGGUCGGCUCGGGGUGUCGGUGAGACGGCGGCGUUCGCGCCGUCCGCUUCCUUCGUCUCGAGAAUCGAUCCCGGACGCGUGCACUUCUCCCCUAGUAGGACGUCGCGAUCCGUUGAGUGCAGGUCUACGGCCCGCGGUGGAGCCCGUCAGCUUCGGUUCGCCGUCGCUUUCGGACCCGCGGUCGCCCGACCUGCUCGCUCGACGGUUGAACGAUGGCGUGAGGUCGCGACUUCAGUUCGCGUUCGACCCGUGGCAAGCUCGUCAUCGCGAGUCGGUGAUCGGACCUAGCGCCGAUCCCGACCGCUGACGGCUGUUCGCCGCGGUGUUCUCGAACGGACCUUUCGAAACGCCGAUCGGCGACGCUAUAGCUUUGGGUACUUUCAGGACCCGUCUUGAAACACGGACCAAGGAGUCCAGCGUGUGCGCGAGUCAUUGGGAUAUCACUAAACCUAAAGGCGAAAUGAAAGUGAACGUCCGCCUAGCGCGGACAGAGGGAAGACGGUCGGUCUCGCGGGACCGACCAGCAUUCCCGGGGCGUCUCGUUCUCAUUGCGAGAAGAGGCGCACCAAGAGCGUACACGCUGGGACCCGAAAGAUGGUGAACUAUGCCUGGUCAGGACGAAGUCAGGGGAAACCCUGAUGGAGGUCCGUAGCGAUUCUGACGUGCAAAUCGAUCGUCGGAACUGGGUAUAGGGGCGAAAGACUAAUCGAACCAUCUAGUAGCUGGUUCCCUCCGAAGUUUCCCUCAGGAUAGCUGGCGCUCGUUGCGUACGAGUCUCAUCCGGUAAAGCGAAUGAUUAGAGGAAUUGGGGUCGAAACGACCUCGACCUAUUCUCAAACUUUAAAUGGGUGAGAUCUCCGGCUUGCUCGAAUGUGAAGCCGCGAGAUAACGGAUCAGAGUGCCAAGUGGGCCAUUUUUGGUAAGCAGAACUGGCGNNNNNNNNNNNNNNNNNNNNNNNNNNNNNNNNNNNNNNNNNNNNNNNNNNNNNNNNNNNNNNNNNNNNNNNNNNNNNNNNNNNNNNNNNNNNNNNNNNNNGGAAUCCGCCAAGGAGUGUGUAACAACUCACCUGCCGAAGUUACUAGCCCUGAAAAUGGAUGGCGCUGAAGCGUCGUGCUUAUACUCGGCCGUCAGCGGCAUGUGCGGCCGCGCGUAGCGCGACCAUGAAGCCCUGACGAGUAGGAGGGUCGCGAAGGUGCGCGCAGAAGGGCUGGCCGUGAGGCCGUCUGGAGCCGCCUUCGGUGCAGAUCUUGGUGGUAGUAGCAAAUACUCCAGCGAGGCCCUGGAGAGCUGAGGUGGAGAAGGGUUUCGUGUGAACAGCCGUUGCACACGAGUCAGUCGAUCCUAAGCCCUAGGCGAAAGCCGAUGUUGAUGUGGCGUUGUUAAGCGUGCGACGAGCGCCUACGUAACGCGACCGACUGAGCAGACGUACACGCAUGGAGACACUGUUUACGCAGUUCUCGGUCGUGUAACUGCACGAUGUGUCGUAAUGGUAGAAUCGCUCUGCGCGUCAUGCACGUCCGUCGGGCGAAAGGGAAUCCGGUUCCUAUUCCGGAACCCGGCAGCGGAACCGUCAUUAAAUCGGGCCCUCAUCAGAGAGUUCGUCGGGGUAACCCAAAAGGACCCGGAGACGCCGUCGAGAGAUCCGGGAAGAGUUUUCUUUUCUGCAUGAGCGUUCGAGUUCCAUGGAAUCCUCUAGCAGGGAGAUAUGGUUUGGAACGCGAAGAGCACCGCACUUGCGGCGGUGUCCGGAUCUUCUCCUCGGACCUUGAAAAUCCGGGAGAGGGCCACGUUUAAGCGUCGCGCCGGAUCGUACCCAUAUCCGCAGCUGGUCUCCAAGGU
RNAcentral lists this ribosomal RNA (2280 nucleotides) under Nephus sp. CO589. Its description in RNAcentral is "partial 28S ribosomal RNA". It matches the Rfam family "Eukaryotic large subunit ribosomal RNA", at positions 44 to 1873 of the family's 3401-position model. Lineage: Eukaryota; Metazoa; Arthropoda; Insecta; Coleoptera; Coccinellidae. The record is from RNAcentral.